This 458-nucleotide ribosomal RNA is filed under the name uncultured bacterium. RNAcentral describes it as "partial 16S ribosomal RNA". It matches the Rfam family "Bacterial small subunit ribosomal RNA", at positions 338 to 795 of the family's 1533-position model. The record is from RNAcentral.
CCUACGCGAGGCAGCAGUGAGGAAUAUUGGUCAAUGGGCGAGAGCCUGAACCAGCCAAGUCGCGUGAGGGAGUACUGCCCUAUGGGUUGUAAACCUCUUUUGUCGGGGAGCAAAAACCGGACGUGUCCGGCUGUGAGAGUACCCGAAGAAAAAGCAUCGGCUAACUCCGUGCCAGCAGCCGCGGUAAUACGGAGGAUGAGAGCGUUAUCCGGAUUUAUGGGGUUUAAAGGGUGCGCAGGCGGAUUUUUAAGUCAGCGGUCAAAUCGUGGGGCUCAACCCCAUCCAGCCGUUGAAACUGGGGAUCUAGAGUGUGCGAGAGGUAUGCGGAGUGCGUGGUGUAGCGGUGAAAUGCAUAGAUAUCACGCAGAACCCCGAUUGCGAAGGCAGCAUACCGGUGCACAACUGACGCUCAGGCACGAAAGCGUGGGUAUCGAACAGGAUUAGAUACCCUGGUAGUC